GAAAAUGCUCAGGAUUUACUGAAGAUGCAAUAAAGGCAUGGUUUAAGAACGAAAAUUUUGUGGAAAUGGGAAAAUUCAAAACGAUUGCGAUCAAUCGUGGGAAAAAGAGCAAAGAAGAAGACCAAAAAUCGGGGAAACUAUUAAGCAGUAAAGCCAACUCGGAAGAAACUCUUGCAGACGAUUAUAAUGCUUUUUAUCAGCAAUUUAAUCU
Molecule: ribosomal RNA, 211 nt
Filed under: Blepharisma japonicum
Lineage: Eukaryota; Ciliophora; Heterotrichea; Heterotrichida; Blepharismidae
Description: partial Eukaryotic large subunit ribosomal RNA
Source: RNAcentral